GAAAUCAUUUUUCACUGUACAUAUAAAUAAAAUUUUUGAAAUUCAACAUGCAUGAGAAUUGCCAUCAGAUGGCAUUUCCUUCAAAGACAGUAGCUCAAGUAUAAUUUUUUUAUAGUAAAUUUUUUAAUGAAUUCUAUUCUUAAUGAUUAUUAUAAUCAAUCAUCACUAACAAUGAUUAAUUACUUGUAGGUAGAUUGGGUGA
This 202-nucleotide long non-coding RNA is filed under the name Elaeis guineensis (African oil palm). RNAcentral's name for it is "long non-coding RNA (EGUI_LNC021913)". The record is from RNAcentral. Lineage: Eukaryota; Viridiplantae; Streptophyta; Magnoliopsida; Arecales; Arecaceae.